This 35-nucleotide transfer RNA is filed under the name Stewartia sinensis. RNAcentral describes it as "partial tRNA-Lys". The record is from RNAcentral. Lineage: Eukaryota; Viridiplantae; Streptophyta; Magnoliopsida; Ericales; Theaceae.
UCGAAUCCCGGGCAACCCAUUGUCAUAUCGAAGUC